RNAcentral lists this long non-coding RNA (274 nucleotides) under Hordeum vulgare. RNAcentral's name for it is "long non-coding RNA (HVUL_LNC010376)". Lineage: Eukaryota; Viridiplantae; Streptophyta; Magnoliopsida; Poales; Poaceae. The record is from RNAcentral.
UCACAAUAAAAACAAGUCUCACAUCAAACCUAGUAAAGAUAUCAAAUACGAUCAAACCAAGUUCAAAGCAAACACGAUAAAGAUAAAGCAAGCAAAUCCAACUCCUAGACUCUCUCCCCCUUUGGCACCAAGACACCAAAAAGGGGCACACCUAAGACACAGGUGGUCACUCCUCAUCCUCAGACUCAUUCAUGGCAUCCGGAUCCUGCUCGUCCUGCUCCUCCUCAAUGUCCUCGUCAGAAACCUCCUCCUCAGCAUCAGAUCCAUCCCACUG